RNAcentral lists this ribosomal RNA (872 nucleotides) under Enterococcus sp. RNAcentral's name for it is "bacterial SSU rRNA". It matches the Rfam family "Bacterial small subunit ribosomal RNA", at positions 19 to 861 of the family's 1533-position model. Lineage: Bacteria; Bacillati; Bacillota; Bacilli; Lactobacillales; Enterococcaceae. The record is from RNAcentral.
CAGGCUCAGGACGAACGCUGGCGGCGUGCCUAAUACAUGCAAGUCGAACGCUUUUUCUUUCACCGGAGCUUGCUCCACCGAAAGAAAAAGAGUGGCGAACGGGUGAGUAACACGUGGGUAACCUGCCCAUCAGAAGGGGAUAACACUUGGAAACAGGUGCUAAUACCGUAUAACACUAUCUUCCGCAUGGAAGAAAGUUGAAAGGCGCUUUUGCGUCACUGAUGGAUGGACCCGCGGUGCAUUAGCUAGUUGGUGAGGUAACGGCUCACCAAGGCAACGAUGCAUAGCCGACCUGAGAGGGUGAUCGGCCACACUGGGACUGAGACACGGCCCAGACUCCUACGGGAGGCAGCAGUAGGGAAUCUUCGGCAAUGGACGAAAGUCUGACCGAGCAACGCCGCGUGAGUGAAGAAGGUUUUCGGAUCGUAAAACUCUGUUGUUAGAGAAGAACAAGGAUGAGAGUAAAAUGUUCAUCCCUUGACGGUAUCUAACCAGAAAGCCACGGCUAACUACGUGCCAGCAGCCGCGGUAAUACGUAGGUGGCAAGCGUUGUCCGGAUUUAUUGGGCGUAAAGCGAGCGCAGGCGGUUUCUUAAGUCUGAUGUGAAAGCCCCCGGCUCAACCGGGGAGGGUCAUUGGAAACUGGGAGACUUGAGUGCAGAAGAGGGAGAGUGGAAUUCCAUGUGUAGCGGUGAAAUGCGUAGAUAUAUGGAGGAACACCAGUGGCGAAGGCGGCUCUCUGGUCUGUAACUGACGCUGAGGCUCGAAAGCGUGGGGAGCGAACAGGAUUAGAUACCCUGGUAGUCCACGCCGUAAACGAUGAGUGCUAAGUGUUGGAGGGUUUCCGCCCUUCAGUGCUGCAGCAAACGCAUU